Molecule: non-coding RNA, 41 nt
Organism: Echinops telfairi (small Madagascar hedgehog)
Lineage: Eukaryota; Metazoa; Chordata; Mammalia; Afrosoricida; Tenrecidae
Source: Rfam
UCUGGGGUGUGGCCUAUGUACAGAGAAGCCCUCACCUCGUA